CUGAGACAGGUGGUGCAUGGCUGUCGUCAGCUCGUGUCGUGAGAUGUUGGGUUAAGUCCCGCAACGAGCGCAACCCUUGUCAUUAGUUGCCAUCAUUAAGUUGGGCACUCUAAUGAGACUGCCGGUGACAAACCGGAGGAAGGUGGGGAUGACGUCAAGUCAUCAUGCCCCUUAUGACCUGGGCUACACACGUGCUACAAUGGACGGUACAACGAGAAGCGAACCUGCGAAGGCAAGCGGAUCUCUUAAAGCCGUUCUCAGUUCGGACUGUAGGCUGCAACUCGCCUACACGAAGCUGGAAUCGCUAGUAAUCGCGGAUCAGCACGCCGCGGUGAAUACGUUCCCGGGCCUUGUACACACCGCCCGUCACACCAUGAGAGUCUGUAACACCCAAAGCCGGUGGGAUAACCUUCAUAGGAGUCAGCCGUCUAAGGUAGGACAGAUGAUUAGGGUGAAGUCGUAACAAGGUAGCCGUAGGAGAACCUGCGGCUGGAUCACCUC
This 501-nucleotide ribosomal RNA is filed under the name uncultured bacterium. RNAcentral's name for it is "bacterial SSU rRNA". It matches the Rfam family "Bacterial small subunit ribosomal RNA", at positions 1029 to 1529 of the family's 1533-position model. The record is from RNAcentral.